UACGUAGGGUGCGAGCGUUGCUCGGAAUUACUGGGCGUAAAGCGCACGUAGGCGGCUUUCUAAGUCGGGGGUGAAAUCCUGGAGCUCAACUCCAGAACUGCCUUCGAUACUGGAAAGCUCGAGUCCGGGAGAGGUGAGUGGAACUGCGAGUGUAGAGGUGAAAUUCGUAGAUAUCCGAAAGAACACCGGUGGCGAAGGCGACUCGCUGGGCUUUUGCUGACACUGAAUCACGACAGCGUGGGGAGCAAACAGG
This 253-nucleotide ribosomal RNA is filed under the name uncultured bacterium. Its description in RNAcentral is "partial 16S ribosomal RNA". It matches the Rfam family "Bacterial small subunit ribosomal RNA", at positions 524 to 776 of the family's 1533-position model. The record is from RNAcentral.